RNAcentral lists this ribosomal RNA (425 nucleotides) under Russula mustelina. RNAcentral describes it as "eukaryotic LSU rRNA". The stretch from base 1 to 152 matches the Rfam family "5.8S ribosomal RNA". Lineage: Eukaryota; Fungi; Basidiomycota; Agaricomycetes; Russulales; Russulaceae. The record is from RNAcentral.
CUUUCAACAACGGAUCUCUUGGCUCUCGCAUCGAUGAAGAACGCAGCGAAAUSCGAUACGUAAUGUGAAUUGCAGAAUUCAGUGAAUCAUCGAAUCUUUGAACGCACCUUGCGCCCCUUGGUAUUCCGAGGGGCACACCCGUUUGAGYGUCGUGAACACCCUCAACCUUCUCGGUUUCUUGACCGGGAAGGCUUGGACUUUGGAGGUUUUCCUUUGCUGGCCUUCUCUUUGAAGCCAGCUCCUCCUAAAUGAAUUAGUGGGGUCCGCUUUGCCGAUCCUUGACGUGAUAAGUACGCUUCUACGUCUUGGGUUUCGCACCAUUGGCCUGGAACCCGCUUCCAAUAGUCUUCGAAAUGAAAAGACAAAUGUCCGAGUUGCGUCGCGAGCUCGGACCUUCUACACCGACCUGACCUCAAAUCGGGAGG